RNAcentral lists this ribosomal RNA (1486 nucleotides) under uncultured Bordetella sp. Its description in RNAcentral is "partial 16S-23S ribosomal RNA intergenic spacer". It matches the Rfam family "Bacterial small subunit ribosomal RNA". The record is from RNAcentral. Lineage: Bacteria; Pseudomonadati; Pseudomonadota; Betaproteobacteria; Burkholderiales; Alcaligenaceae.
AGUUUGAUCAUGGCUCAGAUUGAACGCUUAUGGGAUGCUUGCCACAUGCAAGUCGAACGGCAGCAUCGACUUCGGUCUGGUGGCGAGUGGCGAACGGGUGAGUAAUGUAUCGGAACGUGCCUAGUAGCGGGGAUAACUGACAGCGAAAGCGUAGCUAAUACCGCAUACCGGAAUACCCUCCUUCGGGGGAAAGCGGGGACCUUCGGGCCCUCGCACUAUUAGAGCGGCCGAUAUCGGAUUAGCUAGUUGGGUGGGGUAACGGCUCACCAAGGCGACGAUCCGUAGCUGGUUUGAGAGGACGACCAGCCACACUGGGACUGGAGACACGGCCCAGACUCCUACGGGAGUGCGUGGGGAAUUUUGGACAAUGGGGAAACCCUGGAUCCAGCCAUCCCGCGUGUGCGCGAUGAAGGCCUUCGGGUUGUAAAGCACUUUUGGCAGGAAAGAAACGGUACCGGAUAAUACCCCGUGCAACUGACGGUACCUGCAAGAAUAAGCACCGGCCAACUACGUGCCAGCAGCCGCGGUAAUACGUAGGGUGCAAGCGUUAAUCGGAAUUACUGGGCGUAAAGCGUAAACGCAGGCGGUUCGGAAAGGAAAGGAUGUGAAAUCCCAGAGCUUAACUUUGGAACUGCAUUUUUAACUACCGAGCUGAGUGUCAGGAGGGAGUGGAAUUCCGCGUGUAGCAGUGAAAUGCGUAGAUAUGCGGAGGGAACACCGAUGGCGAAGGCAGCCUCCUGGGAUAACACUGACGCUCAUGCACGAAAGCGUGGGGGAGCAAACAGGAUUAGAUACCCUGUAGUCCACGCCCCAAACGAUGUCAACUAGCUGUUGGGGCCUUCGGGCCUGCAGCAGCUAACGCGUGAAGUUGACCGCCUGGGGAGUACGGUCGCAAGAUUAAAACUCAAAGAAUUGACGGGGACCCGCACAAGCGGUGGAUGAUGUGGAUUGUUCGCAUGCAACGCGAAAAACCUUACCUACCCUUGACAUGUCUGGAAUCCCGAAGAGAUUUGGGAGUGCUGCAAGAGAACCGGAACACAGGUGGCUAUAAGGCUGUCGUCAGCUCGUGUCGUGAGAUGUUGGGUUAAGUCCCGCAACGAGCGCAACCCUUGUCAUUAGUUGCUACGAAAGGGCACUUUAAUGAGACUGCCGGUGACAAACCGAGGAAGGUGGGGAUGACGUCAAGUCCUCAUGGCCCUGCGGUAGGGCUUCACACGUCAUACAAUGGUCGGGACAGUACGCUGGCGAGGGGGAGCCGAUCCCAGAAACCCGAUCGUAGUCCGGAUCGCAGUCUGCAACUCGACUGCGUGAAGUCGGAAUCGCUAGUAAUCGCGGACCAGUAUGUCGCGGUGAAUACGUUCCCGGGUCUUGUACACACCGCCCGUCACACCAUGGGAGUGGGUUUUACCAGAGUAGUUAGUCAAACCGUAAGGAGGGCGAUUACCACGGUAGGAUUCAUGACUGGGGUGAAGUCGUAACAAGGUAA